AUUAAACGCUGGCGGCAUGCCUUACACAUGCAAGUCGAACGGCAGCACGGGGGCAACCCUGGUGGCGAGUGGCGAACGGGUGAGUAAAGCAUCGGAACGUGCCCUGGAGUGGGGGGAUAACGUAGCGAAAGUUACGCUAAUACCGCAUAUUCUGUGAGCAGGAAAGCAGGGGGAUCGCAAGACCUUGCGCUCUGGGAGCGGCCGAUGUCGGAUUAGCUAGUUGGUGGGGUAAAGGCCUACCAAGGCGACGAUCCGUAGCGGGUCUGAGAGGAUGAUCCGCCACACUGGGACUGAGACACGGCCCAGACUCCUACGGGAGGCAGCAGUGGGGAAUUUUGGACAAUGGGCGAAAGCCUGAUCCAGCCAUGCCGCGUGAGUGAAGAAGGCCU
RNAcentral lists this ribosomal RNA (389 nucleotides) under uncultured bacterium. RNAcentral describes it as "bacterial SSU rRNA". It matches the Rfam family "Bacterial small subunit ribosomal RNA", at positions 29 to 417 of the family's 1533-position model. The record is from RNAcentral.